CCUACGGGUGGCAGCAGUGGGGAAUAUUGGGCAAUGGAGGCAACUCUUACCCAGCAAUGCCGCGUGAAUGAAGAAGGUCUUCGGAUUGUAAAGUUCUUUAAUUGGGGACGAAAAAAAUGACGGUACCCAAGGAAUAAGCCCCGGCUAACUACGUGCCAGCAGCCGCGGUAAUACGUAGGGGGCAAGCGUUAUCCGGAUUUACUGGGUGUAAAGGGAGCGUAGACGGCUGUGCAAGUCUGAAGUGAAAGCCCGUGGCUCAACCGCGGAACUGCUUUGGAAACUGUAUAGCUUGAGUACUGGAGAGGCAGGCGGAAUUCCUAGUGUAGCGGUGAAAUGCGUAGAUAUUAGGAGGAACACCAGUGGCGAAGGCGGCCUGCUGGACAGAAACUGACGUUGAGGCUCGAAAGCGUGGGGAGCAAACAGGAUUAGAUACCCUAGUAGUU
Molecule: ribosomal RNA, 443 nt
Filed under: uncultured bacterium
Lineage: Bacteria
Description: partial 16S ribosomal RNA
Rfam family: Bacterial small subunit ribosomal RNA
Source: RNAcentral